GAUGAACGCUGACAGAAUGCUUAACACAUGCAAGUCAACUUGAAUUUGGGUUUUUAACUUAGGUUUGGGUGGCGGACGGGUGAGUAACGCGUAAAGAACUUGCCUCACAGCUAGGGACAACAUUUGGAAACGAAUGCUAAUACCUAAUAUUAUGAUAAUAGGGCAUCCUAUAAUUAUGAAAGCUAUAAGCGCUGUGAGAGAGCUUUGCGUCCCAUUAGCUAGUUGGAGAGGUAACGGCUCACCAAGGCGAUGAUGGGUAGCCGGCCUGAGAGGGUGAUCGGCCACAAGGGGACUGAGACACGGCCCUUACUCCUACGGGAGGCAGCAGUGGGGAAUAUUGGACAAUGGACCAAGAGUCUGAUCCAGCAAUUCUGUGUGCACGAUGAAGUUUUUCGGAAUGUAAAGUGCUUUCAGUUGGGAAGAAAGAAAUGACGGUACCAACAGAAGAAGUGACGGCUAAAUACGUGCCAGCAGCCGCGGUAAUACGUAUGUCACGAGCGUUAUCCGGAUUUAUUGGGCGUAAAGCGCGUCUAGGUGGUUAUGUAAGUCUGAUGUGAAAAUGCAGGGCUCAACUCUGUAUUGCGUUGGAAACUGUAUAACUAGAGUACUGGAGAGGUAAGCGGAACUACAAGUGUAGAGGUGAAAUUCGUAGAUAUUUAUAGGAAUGCCGAUGGGGAAGCCAGCUUACUGGACAGAUACUGACGCUGAAGCGCGAAAGCGUGGGUAGCAAACAGG
This 735-nucleotide ribosomal RNA is filed under the name uncultured Fusobacterium sp. RNAcentral describes it as "bacterial SSU rRNA". It matches the Rfam family "Bacterial small subunit ribosomal RNA", at positions 28 to 776 of the family's 1533-position model. The record is from RNAcentral. Lineage: Bacteria; Fusobacteriati; Fusobacteriota; Fusobacteriia; Fusobacteriales; Fusobacteriaceae.